GACGAACGCUGGCGGCGUGCUUAACACAUGCAAGUCGAACGGAAAGGCCCUGCUUUUGUGGUGUGCUCGAUUGCCGAACGGGUGAGUAACACGUGAGUAACCUGCCCUUGACUUUGGGAUAACUUCAGGAAACUGGGGCUAAUACCGGAUAGGAUCUCCCGCUGCAUUGUGGGGGUUGGAACGUUUCGGCGGUUGGGGAUGGACUCGCGGGUUAUCAGCUUGUUGGUGGGGUAGUGGCUUACCAAGGCUUUGACGGGUAGCCGGCCUGAGAGGGUGACCGGCCACAUUGGGACUGAGAUACGGCCCAGACUCCUACGGGAGGCAGCAGUGGGGAAUAUUGCACAAUGGGCGGAAGCCUGAUGCAGCAACGCCGCGUGCGGGAUGACGGCCUUCGGGUUGUAAACCGCUUUCGCCUGCGACGAAGCGUGAGUGACGGUAAUGGGUAAAGAAGCACCGGCUAACUACGUG
RNAcentral lists this ribosomal RNA (468 nucleotides) under uncultured bacterium. RNAcentral's name for it is "partial 16S ribosomal RNA". It matches the Rfam family "Bacterial small subunit ribosomal RNA", at positions 28 to 507 of the family's 1533-position model. The record is from RNAcentral.